UCCCAGGUGGCUCAGAUGGUAAAGCAUCUGCCUACAAUGCGGGAGACCUGGGUUCGAUCCCUGGGUCGGGAA
This 72-nucleotide transfer RNA is filed under the name Bos taurus (domestic cattle). It matches the Rfam family "tRNA". From Rfam's summary of the family: Transfer RNA (tRNA) molecules are approximately 80 nucleotides in length. Their secondary structure includes four short double-helical elements and three loops (D, anti-codon, and T loops). Further hydrogen bonds mediate the characteristic L-shaped molecular structure. tRNAs have two regions of fundamental functional importance: the anti-codon, which is responsible for specific mRNA codon recognition, and the 3' end, to which the tRNAs corresponding amino acid is attached (by aminoacyl-tRNA synthetases). tRNAs cope with the degeneracy of the genetic code in two manners: having more than one tRNA (with a specific anti-codon) for a particular amino acid; and 'wobble' base-pairing, i.e. permitting non-standard base-pairing at the 3rd anti-codon position. The record is from Rfam by way of RNAcentral. RNAcentral also lists the same sequence under 4 other names. Lineage: Eukaryota; Metazoa; Chordata; Mammalia; Artiodactyla; Bovidae.